AGCUUGAUGUCCUCGAGGGGGUUCCCGGGCACGACACGCUUGUAGAGGUAGCUGUCGAAGGUCAUCCGCUGCACGUAGUCGUCAGCGCACAUCUCCACGAAGGCCUCCCUGGCGGCGUUGGAGCGGUAGAAGACCUUCUGCAGGAUGUCGAGCACCUUGUAGGUCGGCCAGUAGAGCCUGUCGAACUCCGCCAGGUACUUGCGGAGGUCGCCUUCCUCCACCAGCCUCGUCCCGUUCGCCGACCCGGCCACGAUCGCCUCCGCGCACAUCCUCCCGCUCUUCGCCGCGAAGUAGAUCCC
RNAcentral lists this long non-coding RNA (299 nucleotides) under Brachypodium distachyon (stiff brome). RNAcentral's name for it is "long non-coding RNA (BDIS_LNC004082)". Lineage: Eukaryota; Viridiplantae; Streptophyta; Magnoliopsida; Poales; Poaceae. The record is from RNAcentral.